GGGUUGUGAGGUUAAGCGACUAAGCGUACACGGUGGAUGCCCUGGCAGUCAGAGGCGAUGAAGGGCGUGCUAAUCUGCGAUAAGCGCCGGUAAGGUGAUAUGAACCGUUAUAACCGGCGAUACCCGAAUGGGGAAACCCAGUGUGAUUCGUCACACUAUCAUUAACUGAAUCCAUAGGUUAAUGAGGCGAACCGGGGGAACUGAAACAUCUAAGUACCCCGAGGAAAAGAAAUCAACCGAGAUUCCCCCAGUAGCGGCGAGCGAACGGGGAGGAGCCCAGAGCCUGAAUCAGCAUGUGUGUUAGUGGAAGCGUCUGGAAAGGCGCGCGAUACAGGGUGACAGCCCCGUACACAAAAGCGCAUGUGCUGUGAGCUCGAUGAGUAGGGCGGGACACGUGGUAUCCUGUCUGAAUAUGGGGGGACCAUCCUCCAAGGCUAAAUACUCCUGACUGACCGAUAGUGAACCAGUACCGUGAGGGAAAGGCGAAAAGAACCCCGGCGAGGGGAGUGAAAAAGAACCUGAAACCGUGUACGUACAAGCAGUGGGAGCACAGGUUUACCUGUGUGACUGCGUACCUUUUGUAUAAUGGGUCAGCGACUUAUAUUCUGUAGCAAGGUUAACCGUAUAGGGGAGCCGUAGGGAAACCGAGUCUUAAUUGGGCGUUAAGUUGCAGGGUAUAGACCCGAAACCCGGUGAUCUAGCCAUGGGCAGGUUGAAGGUUGGGUAACACUAACUGGAGGACCGAACCGACUAAUGUUGAAAAAUUAGCGGAUGACCUGUGGCUGGGGGUGAAAGGCCAAUCAAACCGGGAGAUAGCUGGUUCUCCCCGAAAGCUAUUUAGGUAGCGCCUCGUGAAUUCAUCUCCGGGGGUAGAGCACUGUUUCGGCUAGGGGGCCAUCCCGGCUUACCAACCCGAUGCAAACUGCGAAUACCGGAGAAUGUUAUCACGGGAGACACACGGCGGGUGCUAACGUCCGUCGUGAAGAGGGAAACAACCCAGACCGCCAGCUAAGGUCCCAAAGUCAUGGUUAAGUGGGAAACGAUGUGGGAAGGCCCAGACAGCCAGGAUGUUGGCUUAGAAGCAGCCAUCAUUUAAAGAAAGCGUAAUAGCUCACUGGUCGAGUCGGCCUGCGCGGAAGAUGUAACGGGGCUAAACCAUGCACCGAAGCUGCGGCAGCGACGCUUAUGCGUUGUUGGGUAGGGGAGCGUUCUGUAAGCCUGUGAAGGUGUGUCGUGAGGCAUGCUGGAGGUAUCAGAAGUGCGAAUGCUGACAUAAGUAACGAUAAAGCGGGUGAAAAGCCCGCUCGCCGGAAGACCAAGGGUUCCUGUCCAACGUUAAUCGGGGCAGGGUGAGUCGACCCCUAAGGCGAGGCCGAAAGGCGUAGUCGAUGGGAAACAGGUUAAUAUUCCUGUACUUGGUGUUACUGCGAAGGGGGGACGGAGAAGGCUAUGUUGGCCGGGCGACGGUUGUCCCGGUUUAAGCGUGUAGGUGUGUGUUCCAGGUAAAUCCGGUUCACUUUAACACUGAGGCGUGAUGACGAGGCACUACGGUGCUGAAGCAACAAAUGCCCUGCUUCCAGGAAAAGCCUCUAAGCAUCAGGUAACAUCAAAUCGUACCCCAAACCGACACAGGUGGUCAGGUAGAGAAUACCAAGGCGCUUGAGAGAACUCGGGUGAAGGAACUAGGCAAAAUGGUGCCGUAACUUCGGGAGAAGGCACGCUGACACGUAGGUGAAGUGAUUUACUCAUGGAGCUGAAGUCAGUCGAAGAUACCAGCUGGCUGCAACUGUUUAUUAAAAACACAGCACUGUGCAAACACGAAAGUGGACGUAUACGGUGUGACGCCUGCCCGGUGCCGGAAGGUUAAUUGAUGGGGUCAGCGCAAGCGAAGCUCCUGAUCGAAGCCCCGGUAAACGGCGGCCGUAACUAUAACGGUCCUAAGGUAGCGAAAUUCCUUGUCGGGUAAGUUCCGACCUGCACGAAUGGCGUAAUGAUGGCCAGGCUGUCUCCACCCGAGACUCAGUGAAAUUGAACUCGCUGUGAAGAUGCAGUGUACCCGCGGCAAGACGGAAAGACCCCGUGAACCUUUACUAUAGCUUGACACUGAACAUUGAGCCUUGAUGUGUAGGAUAGGUGGGAGGCUUUGAAG
This 2149-nucleotide ribosomal RNA is filed under the name Salmonella enterica subsp. enterica serovar Paratyphi B var. L(+) tartrate +. Its description in RNAcentral is "partial 23S ribosomal RNA". It matches the Rfam family "Bacterial large subunit ribosomal RNA", at positions 1 to 2162 of the family's 2925-position model. The record is from RNAcentral. Lineage: Bacteria; Pseudomonadati; Pseudomonadota; Gammaproteobacteria; Enterobacterales; Enterobacteriaceae.